UACGAAGGGGGCUAGCGUUGUUCGGAUUUACUGGGCGUAAAGCGCACGUAGGCGGAUCGUUAAGUCGGGGGUGAAAUCCUGGAGCUCAACUCCAGAACUGCCUUCGAUACUGGCGAUCUCGAGUCCGGAAGAGGUGAGUGGAACUCCUAGUGUAGAGGUGGAAUUCGUAGAUAUUCGCAAGAACACCGGUGGCGAAGGCGGGUCUCUGGGCAGUAACUGACGCUGAGGAGCGAAAGCGUGGGGAGCGAACAGG
Molecule: ribosomal RNA, 253 nt
Filed under: uncultured bacterium
Lineage: Bacteria
Description: partial 16S ribosomal RNA
Rfam family: Bacterial small subunit ribosomal RNA
Source: RNAcentral